RNAcentral lists this ribosomal RNA (671 nucleotides) under Nidula niveotomentosa. RNAcentral's name for it is "eukaryotic LSU rRNA". It matches the Rfam family "Eukaryotic large subunit ribosomal RNA", at positions 1 to 653 of the family's 3401-position model. The record is from RNAcentral. Lineage: Eukaryota; Fungi; Basidiomycota; Agaricomycetes; Agaricales; Nidulariaceae.
UUGACCUCAAAUCAGGUAGGACUACCCGCUGAACUUAAGCAUAUCAAUAAGCGGAGGAAAAGAAACUAACAAGGAUUCCCCUAGUAACUGCGAGUGAAGCGGGAAAAGCUCAAAUUUAAAAUCUGGCGGUCUUUGGCCGUUCGAGUUGUAAUCUAGAGAAGUGUUACCCGCGCUGGACCGUGUACAAGUCUCCUGGAAUGGAGCGUCAUAGAGGGUGAGAAUCCCGUCUUUGACACGGACUGCCAGGGCUAUGUGGUGCGCUCUCAACGAGUCGAGUUGUUUGGGAAUGCAGCUCAAAAUGGGUGGUAAAUUCCAUCUAAAGCUAAAUAUUGGCGAGAGACCGAUAGCGAACAAGUACCGUGAGGGAAAGAUGAAAAGAACUUUGGAAAGAGAGUUAAACAGUACGUGAAAUUGCUGAAAGGGAAACGCUUGAAGUCAGUCGCGUUGGCCGGAAAUCAACCUUGCUUUUGCUGGGCGUACUUUCUGGUCGACGGGUCAGCAUCAAUUUUGACCGUUGGAUAAAGGCCAGGGGAAUGUGGCAUCUUCGGAUGUGUUAUAGCCCUUGGUUGCAUACAGCGGUUGGGAUUGAGGAACUCAGCACGCCGAAAGGCCGGGGUUUUUGCCCACGUACGUGCUUAGGAUGCUGGCAUAAUGGCUUUAAUCGACCCGUC